RNAcentral lists this ribosomal RNA (481 nucleotides) under uncultured bacterium. Its description in RNAcentral is "bacterial SSU rRNA". It matches the Rfam family "Bacterial small subunit ribosomal RNA", at positions 355 to 851 of the family's 1533-position model. The record is from RNAcentral.
UGGGGAAUCUUGGACAAUGGGGGCAACCCUGAUCCAGCCAUGCCGCGUGAGUGAUGAAGGCCUUAGGGUCGUAAAGCUCUUUCGCCUGUGAAGAUAAUGACGGUAGCAGGUAAAGAAACCCCGGCUAACUCCGUGCCAGCAGCCGCGGUAAUACGGAGGGGGUUAGCGUUGUUCGGAAUUACUGGGCGUAAAGCGCACGUAGGCGGACCAGAAAGUUGGGGGUGAAAUCCCGGGGGCUCAACCCCGGAACUGCCUCCAAAACUAUUGGUCUAGAGUUCGAGAGAGGUGAGUGGAAUUCCAAGUGUAGAGGUGAAAUUCGUAGAUAUUUGGAGGAACACCAGUGGCGAAGGCGGCUCACUGGCUCGAUACUGACGCUGAGGUGCGAAAGUGUGGGGAGCAAACAGGAUUAGAUACCCUGGUAGUCCACGCCGUAAAACGAUGUCUGCUAGUCGUUGGGGGGCGUAGCCCUUCAGUGACGCCG